GGAGGGGUAGCCAAAUGGUAAAGGCACCAGAUUAAAAACCUGGCAGUCGACCCUCAUGGCUUCCUCACU
Molecule: transfer RNA, 69 nt
Filed under: Myxococcus sp. MH1
Lineage: Bacteria; Pseudomonadati; Myxococcota; Myxococcia; Myxococcales; Myxococcaceae
Description: tRNA-Phe
Source: RNAcentral